UACGUAGGGGGCAAGCGUUGUCCGGAUUUAUUGGGCGUAAAGCGCGUGUAGGUGGCCAUGUAGGUCCGCUGUGAAAACUUGAGGCUCAACCUCAAGCUGUCGGUGGAAACCACAUGGCUAGAGUCCGGAAGAGGAGAGUGGAAUUCCAGGUGUAGCGGUGAGAUGCGCAGAUAUCAGGAAGAACACCAAUGGCGAAGGCAGCUCUCUGGGACGGUACUGACACUGAGACGCGAAAGCGUGGGGAGCGAACAGG
Molecule: ribosomal RNA, 253 nt
Filed under: uncultured bacterium
Lineage: Bacteria
Description: partial 16S ribosomal RNA
Rfam family: Bacterial small subunit ribosomal RNA
Source: RNAcentral